GUACCUGAGUUUAAAAUAUUGAGGGAUUAUGAUAGGAUGAGGAUGGAAUUUUUUAAAAUGCUGUUUAUAGUUUUUAAAAAGUGACAUAGAGUAAGUAAAAGGAAUUACUUUAAAAAAAAUGAGUAAAUAUACAAUUUUCCAAUUUGGGACAAAUUGGUAGCCUUAAUAUUUAGAUCUGUUCUGUGAUAAAACUAAUGUUCUUUUUCUUCAUAGUUAUAUUUUAAUGUACGAUGCAUACCCACUCACGGGUGGUGGUUCCCCGGUAAGCGGCCCUGACAGCUUGGCUCAGCAGAGCUGAGAUGGGCAGAGUUAAGGAAGGCAUUUGACAGAUCACCCGAUCUGGGAUGGGAGACAUUUGUGCAUCGAUGUAGAUGGAAGCACGUGCCACCCAAGCUUUGCAUUCAUGUGCCAUCUGUGCAGUGAGGGCCAGUUGAACUGAUUCAAGACUCCAUGGGGGUGUGCAAGAUAAAUACAGUGAAAUAUACAAGCCGCAAAAUUAAAAGUCCAAAGUAAGAUCACUUUAUUUUCAGAAUGAUUUUAAUUAUAAUUCAGUAAUGUGGUAUGAAGAUUGGUUUACAGUUAAAUAACAUUUUUCUUGAUUCUCAUACUUAAAGAGUUUUUCUCAUACUAAUGUUGAUCUUUCAAUUUUAUUUCUCAGAAAUGAAUUAUAUAAUUUGAACAUGCAUACAUUUUUAUAUUUUUGGUGGGGAGAAAAAAGGCAAAACCAGUUAAUAAAAAAAACUGUACUUAUCACAUCUUAAAGAUUCAUACUUUACAGGAAGGAAAAUAUCAAAGACAACUUCUCUUUAAAAAAUACACAAUUCUAACAUAGCUGUGCAGUAUAUACAUUUUUAUUUUGACUUUAUCUGCCAAAAUCCAGUACAGAUGAAACCAUCAUUUUAUAUUUACAUAUGGCUAUAUUUUCAUUAUUUAAGGUUCAAAGAUGGAGUUAACAUUUUUAUUUCAAAUUUUACCCUCAUGUUUAUCUUUUACCUCUGGAUGUUUAGUCUUUCAAAUUGUUUAAAAUGUGUAUGGUUAAUGUACAUGAAGGGCAUAAUCCUGCAAAGUUAUGAAAGGGGAUAUUUUCUGUGUGCAAACUGAAAUAGCAAAGAUGGGCCAGGGUGCUCAGUUUGAGGGAUCCCCUUUCUGUUUAACGUCUUAAUUGAUGAGAUUUUUUUAAUAUAUUAACUUAUAGCUGUAUAUCAGAAUAGAUAAAUACAUUAUGAAAUUACACUUUUUAUAAUAGCUUUUAGUAUAAUCACUUGUGUGAUUAUGAUAAAUUGGUUUUAGUUUUCUUUUCACAGUUAAUAACUUCUGUUUUAUAAGAAGAACUGCGCCAGCUAGGAAAAAUUUCUUUCCAGUUGAGAGUUCUCCUUUUGCUCCUAAAAUGAAUGAUGUACAAUUUCAAGUUUCAAGGCAGCUUCCUCACAAACUACUAUUUUAUAAAUGGCUUGUGGGAGCUGUGCAUGAAGCAACUGUUUUUAAUCACAUUCUAUAGAUCUUAAUCUAUAUACCAUUUAUGAAAUGGAAACUUUAAGAUGGUAACUUAUAAGCCCCAUAUUAUACUUUUAAAACAAAAGUAGGGCUGAAUAGGAAUACAUAACUCUUUUUUUCAUGCAAUGGGCUUUUUCUUUUUCUUUAAUUUCUUGGAUAAAUACUCGCCUUUGCUUAAAAGUGCUUGAGAAAUACUCAGUAGAGCCACCACCUCAAGUUUUGAUCUGAUAACAGAAGUUGUGUAUUUAGGCCACUUGCUCUUGGUGUAGUGGGGUUCUCAGUGGGGGGGAUUCUGCUUCCUAGAAGGUGUGAUCCAAUGUCUGGAGGUAUUUUUUGAUUGUCACAAUGUCUGGUGGAUGCCAGGGCUGCAGAAGGUCCUACAACACCCAGGACUGUCUCCUGCAAGAAUAGAUUACCCAGCCCCUCGCAUCAGUAGCACCCAGGCUGAGAAACCUUGCCCUAAGGUAAUAAACGGUACAGAGACAAGUGGCUAAGUUUUUAGUUUGGAGUAACCCAGCUACUUCAUGGAGACAAUGCUGACAAGGUAGAUUACCCAAGCCAUGGCUUGGCCAAAGCUCUCAAACUCGCCAUGGGUAUGUGACCUCAGUUUAGUGCUUCUGUGAGAAAAGUGGGGCAGAGUGAAAUGGAAGGAAUGACCUGCUAGAAGUCUUUGUGUAGCACCCUGAAGAACUAGCAUGUAUGUGUCCAGUAGUUACAUGGUUUAUUAAAUAAUCUAUCAAGUUAGUGAUGUUUCUCCUCUGCUCUUUUAAAGAAGUUUUGGACUCAAAGUCCACACGGCUGUUAAUGAGAACUGGGUCCUAGCACAUCUGGAGAAUACCAUGUUUUUGCCAUAAACCCCUGACAUUUUGUGGCUAAUUUUGCCCCCUAGUUUUGCUUUGUCAAAUACAAAAAUAAAUCACUGAAGAUAAAUCACUGAAGAUAGCUUUAGGUAGCUCACUGUGGAGUUGGGCCAGGAGGGAGGUCAGGACCAGGUGCACCAAGGCGUAUACCUGUUUUCAAAGUCUGGUUUUUGGAGGAUUGUAAUUACAAGAAAUUGAGGUCAUAGACUUUUAAAGCUAAAAGCAUUGCUGCUGAAUUACAACCUGGGCUUCCCAUUUUCUAAUGAGGACACUGAAGUGUAAAGAGGCAGAGUGACUUGUCUAAAGCUUUAGGUUUUUAUGUCAGUUUCUGUCAUAAAAUAGUCUCUCUGCCUCUCUCCCAGUCCCUCCUGGAGAAUGUGUGGGCUCAGAAAUGGAAAAGGAAGUGCAGAAGGAGAAAUGGGUGGUGCAUCCCCAAGAUAGUUUAUUUACAUCAGUGACUGGGAUGCUUGUUAAAAAAACAGACUAGUGGCAUUUAUCCCUGUUGAACCAAAUAAAUGUCUCAAGGGUUGGGACCUAAUCUAGCUAGGGAGUAAUCUUGCCUAGGUGGCAGUCAUUCUUCUGGAAGUUUAAGUCCUCCAGCAACACACAAACACAGAGGAUGAAACCUGCUAAUUAGGUGGUUGCCAUUAUCUCCUUGUAGUUCCUUGCAAAUUCUUGAGGUGUUUUUUUUUUUUUUUUUUUUUUAAACUACCUUCUUUAUGCUGCUUGAAAUUCCAACAGUUAGAAAUUUACUCUGGCUUAUUUUUCUAACCUGUUUACCAAUAAGUGAAAAUAGCUUCCUGGAGUUAAGGGGAUUAUUCAUGUAAGUAUGUGAGAUGAUUUUUCUUCCUCAUACCUGGUGCAGAGCAGCUGCCCCCAAUGAAUGGGGUAGCUGGUCAAGGGCCAAGGGAACGUGGUUAGCUCCGGAUUACUGGAGAGGAAGGCAUGCCUCGGGGGGCUUCUAGAAGAUGGGGACACCCGGAGUGGGAAAAGUGGUUUCGUAUGGAAGAUGGAAGGAUGCCGAAGGCAAAGAAAUUACUUCUCUCCCCAAAAUUCAAACUAGGUCCCUUCCAGCCAGUCAGGUUAGCCAGCCGGGCAUCCUGAAGGAGAAAGAAAACUUCCUACUUCCUGGAGCAUAGGCUGGGCCUCUAGCAGAUAGGAUUAUACCGUAAAUGUUGUGAUACUACAGAUUUUAGACACAGUUUUAUGCUUUGGCCUCUAUACUACUACCCUUCUCCACACUUAAAUGGAAGUUUUUUCUCCAGAAAGCAUACUCUCAGCUCCUACCAGGUAUCCAGGCAUUUUUGGUAAGUACCUCCUGGCAAACAAGGGACUGAGAAGGCAGCUGCAGGCCAGUAGCGAAUCUUACUCUACUUUCUUAAGAAACUUAUCACUUAAAAUAACCUCUGUGGCAGCUUUGGAUGAGCAGCAGAUGAAAACCUGUGUUGUUUUUCCCCCAUCAACAUCAGUAUCCAAGCUAAUUCUGUAUCUGUGCCAACCAAGUCCUUCCACUUUGGUCAUUAUGGUUUAGAAACCAUUUUUAAUGGUUGGGGUACCUCGCCCCCCCAGUCGGAGAAAGGUUAUAUUUUUCUUUAAGACAUUUCAUGAUGGUAAGCAUUUCAUGUUUCUGACACAACACAUGUUACAAUGUAAACUCUGGACCAGCCAGUGGAAAGAUCACUUUUCCCGCGUAUAAAAUAAGUCUUACCCUUUAUACUCCUAGCCACCCCACCCCCCCAAUUUCUUCUUUCCAAACUGACCUGCAGUUUUCGUAAAAUAUCAGGCUAGUUUACCUAUUACACAAAAAACACUGGGAUUUUAAAAAAAGAAUCCAUUCAUGCAAAUUGCAAACCCAGGGUGCAACACUGUCCAUAGACUGCGGAGUCGGGGGGAGCUCAGCUGUUGAGUUCUGUGGUCUCGUCAAUCUCAUCCGCAUUUUUGGACAUUUUUUCAUAUUUUCUUUUGAAGAAACCAAGCUGUAAGAUGAUGAUAGAAAAAUUUUACCACCUAUGGGCUAUUUUGUUACAGCAUCUCCCCCUCCCCCGGUUGGCUGCCCACCGGAGCACCUCUGGGAAUCUCUGGGCUCUGGAGAGAGCUUUUCAGAGAGGAAAUCAUUCCCAGGUAGUUGAACUGAAUUCUGAAUUGCAUAAAGUUAAAAUUUUCCAGGGUCUACUUAUUUGCAGCUGAACAAAACAUUCAGGGGUCAGGAUGUAAGGCAGGCUUAAAAAAAAAAAAGUACAUGUAUAUGUGUAUAUAUACAUACAUAUGUGUGUGUACACACACACAGACACACACAUACCUAAGACCGGAGAUAUAAAAUCCUUACUGAUUGUUUUCAAGGACAGAAGGGAGAAUUUGCAAAUGAAUUUGCAUUUUCUUUUCUCUUAGGAUGGAGGAGGUACUAUAUAAAACUUAAGGCUACUGUUUGAUAAGGAAAUUCAAGACAGAUGUCUUUAGGAGCCCAAUGUUUUUAAAUACGAAAAUUUUCUUACCUUCCAUAAGACCGCAACCAGAGCUAAUAGCAAAAGGAUUCCAGCAAUUACACUCCCUACUAUAACCCCAGUUGGAACUUCAGCUUUCUCAUGGGGUUUCAUUAUCAUGAUGGGAAUCUGUAAAUGUAUAUAUGCAAUAGUUAAGUAAUUGUAGCACCAAGAAAAAGUGAGAUGGUCUAGUCAAUUUCUCUAAUUCUGUAAAUGGUGGUCCAGAAAGGUGACAUGACUCACGCAUGAUCACAUUCUUCAGCUAAACGUUGUGCAAUAUAAUUUCUAGAGAAAAUGCUUCUUCACAGUACAGGCAAAGAAUACAAAUUUUCUAGUUUCCUCUCUUUUUGUGUCUGUAUUUAGUGGGUAUGUCACCUCUGACAACCUCAGAUGCUUUAUUUAUGAAAUAGGAACUUCGGUUUCUGGCAUAGUCUCAUCGCCAAGUGACAGCAUUUGGAGUCAGUCUUGGAGAGGGGAGUCGAAGACCAAACAAAUUAACAACCCCAGAUCCCUUGUGACCAAGCAACAGCAGCUUUGUACUAGGAUCCUAAGUAUUCCUUUCACUUAACUCACUCAAGUUAUUUGAUAUGGAUUGUUAAAAAGUGGAAGUAACAGCUCAGGCUGACCUUUUUCAGUGAUAAACUGUCCUUGAGGCUACUUAUGAUUCUUCAUGUCUGCUUUCUGGGAAUCUUUGUGACUUUGUAAUAGAAUGGCUGCCCUAAGAGUUCUAAUGGUAAAACCGUAUCAUCCAUAUAUAAAUAUCUCUCUCUCUCUCUCUCUCUCUCUCUCUCACACACACACACACACACACAUAUAUUUUAUGUAUUUUUUUUUUAAUUGCAGAAAGAAUCACUGCCAUUUCCUCCACAAUUAAGAAUAUUAAGAGCUGCAUUUUGGGGAAAACAAGUUGACAAAACCUAAUUUAUUGAUUGAUUUAACACUGUUACAGCGGCAGAUGUGCUGCUUCUUGUCACAGAAUUUAUGAGUUGGGUGAACUUUGUCUUGCCUUUUGGUAAUUAUUUUUCUUUUGAUUUAUAUUUUCGAGAGCUAAAAUAAGGUUUUACAAUUUAGGAAUAAAGUACCUGAAUUUGUACUUUA
Molecule: long non-coding RNA, 5932 nt
Organism: Mustela erminea (ermine)
Lineage: Eukaryota; Metazoa; Chordata; Mammalia; Carnivora; Mustelidae
Exons: 2
Source: RefSeq, a predicted model, not a curated record